GGAGAGAUGCCGGAGUGGUCGAUCGGGGCGGUCUCGAAAACCGUUGUACCGUCAGGUACCCAGGGUUCGAAUCCCUGUCUCUCCG
This 85-nucleotide transfer RNA is filed under the name Bacteroidales bacterium. Its description in RNAcentral is "tRNA-Ser". It matches the Rfam family "tRNA". Rfam says of the family: Transfer RNA (tRNA) molecules are approximately 80 nucleotides in length. Lineage: Bacteria; Pseudomonadati; Bacteroidota; Bacteroidia; Bacteroidales. The record is from RNAcentral.